GGGGGGAGGCUGGAUCCUGGGCUGUGUCCCGGCGCCCUGUGCUCUGGGGCCUGCGCUGUUGGAUUCGCGCUCCCGGGCCGCAGCCCCCU
This 89-nucleotide microRNA precursor is filed under the name Canis lupus familiaris (dog). RNAcentral describes it as "mir-8799 microRNA precursor family". It matches the Rfam family "mir-8799 microRNA precursor family". Lineage: Eukaryota; Metazoa; Chordata; Mammalia; Carnivora; Canidae. The record is from Rfam by way of RNAcentral. RNAcentral also lists the same sequence under 1 other name.